Non-coding RNA from Equus caballus (horse), 1757 nucleotides. NCBI's taxonomy places the organism in Eukaryota, Metazoa, Chordata, Mammalia, Perissodactyla, Equidae. The record is from RefSeq and is a predicted model, not a curated record.
CUGGGGGGCUGUCAAAUGGGGGAGGGGGCCCAUGACUGCAGCUCCAACUCUUUCUUGAAACCCUGCUCCUCAGUCCCAGCUCAGAACUGUGGAUCUGAUGACUACAUUCGCCUAAAGGAAAAUAAUCCGAGUCACCAGUGGUAGCCUGGUCAUGGUGGCUUCGGGACCUCAAUUAGCCCCUGGAAUUCUCACGAGGAGAAAGCCUUUCAAUUUGUGAUUUCUUUCUUCAGUACAAGGAAGAGCCGGGAAGAGAGCCAUGCCUGAGAACCUGACUGUGGUGAGGGAAGGGCUGUAAUUUCAAAUUCCUGCCAGGACUUAGUACCACAGAAGAGAUGGAGAGCUGGCAGAUGGGCCUUUACACAACAGAGCACUUCGGGAAGAUUUUGUCUGUGCAAAGAUGGUGGCUGACACAAAGGAGGUAUAUGGCGAGGCUGAAAGCUGAAGAAGCCUGUACUUCUACUUUAGGAGGAUUUAGAGUUCUCACUAUGUCUCCACGGAAGGAUGUGAUAAGAACAAUAAUAAUGACCAAUAUUUACUGAACACAUACUUUGAGCAGACCCUGUGUUAAGAGUUCCCUGUAUUAUAUUUCAUGAUAACCCAAUGAGGGGUUAGAGCUGGUACUGUCAGUGUCCAUAUCUCCUCAGCACUCGCUUCUACACAGUGAACACUUCUGAUUUGAACACGGGUGACUCUGAGGGCUUGGCUGCCCAAGCCCUCCUCAGGCCUCCGUGGGCAGGGCCAGAAGUGCCGGAGUUAAUGCCCCUGGAAGCAGCCCUCAACCAAUGACAGACAGGGAUUUGGUGGACAAAUUCCCUAGUUUCUUUUCCCCUAGGCUGGGAUAACUCUGAUGCAGGUUCUACAUCAGCAGUUGGCGAACUUUUUCUGUAAAGGUCCAGACAAUAGAUAUUUUAGGCUUUGUAACCCAUACAGUCUCUGUCUCAACUACUCAGCUUGGCUCUUGCAGCAUGAAACCAACCACAGACCGUAUGUAAAUGAACAGGAGUGGCUGUUCCAAUAAAACUUUGUUUUAUGGCCCAAGCCAGUUUGCCAACCUUGCUCUACACUAUAUAGAGUUCCCCAGUGGGACUGAGCCUCCAGUUAGCCAUGGUGGUAACCGGCUUGAUGAUGCUCCCUUGACUGACCUUUUUCGUUGUCUCACUUCCUUACACUUUUACUAGUGUGUCAUGAGAUCACCUCCAAAAUAACUACCUGCACGCAAAUCUUUGUCUUGGGAUCUGCUUCUAGGGGAACCUAAAUGAAGGCAAGCAAGAACUAUUAUUAUCACUGUUUUUCAGAGGAAGAAACUGAGACACAAAGAGGCUAAGUAAUUCACCCAAGGUUACAGAGUUAGCAAGUGGUAGAGCCAGCAUUUGAAUCCAGUCUUGCUCAAGAGUUCUGAGUAUAUUCAAAGCAUCCUGGAAAAUCAGCAGGGAGGGGAGGGGGCAGUAGUCAGAGGAGCCGGGAUCCCCCCAGAAUGAAUGAAGUUCUCCAGAGUCGUGAGGAGUCAGAGAGACCUGCUCCUUGCAGCUUGGUCAGGGAGGCAGCAAGCUCUCAGGGAAGAAUAAGCAUGGAGCAUCAAGGCAUAUGGGGACUUGGGCAGCUUCCCAAAAUAGUCCCAUGGCCUGAACACAACAUGGAAACAUCAGAAAGCCACCAGACCUAAAGGGACCCACGGACAGAGGCAAGGGAUAUGUCAGUGCAAUCUGUGAGGACCAUUGACAGAGGCCCUGGUGGACCCUCUGAUGUGUCCGCUCAAG